UGCAUUUUGCAAACAUUAGCAGCUCAGCUCAAUUUUUUCUCUCUGCAGAGUUUGUGCUAUGAAGUCCCACGCACCGAGGCUGGAUGACACCCCGAGCCCGGGGCUGUGUGUGCCGCAGGAGUAGGCCCUGGCUGUGUCCAAGGACCAGUGUGGCACGGUACCCUGGCGGGAGGGGCCUCCCUGACGGAUGCCUGUGCCCAGCCUCUUGCUCAGGACGUCAGCCCUGGGGGACCAAGGACGCCGCCCCCCAAGGUGCUGAGAAGCACUGGGCUCAUGUGAGCGAGAAGGGGACUCCACAGAGCUUCCCAAGGGUAAGGCUGUGUGCAUUCUCUCGUUGCCCAGGACAGACUGCCUGGCAGGGGCCAAGCAAGUGGGUGAGGGAGGGAAGAUGGGGGGAAGAAAGGAGGAAGGAGGAAAAAAGGAAAGAAGGGAGGGAGGGGAGAAAAAAGAAAAGGAAGAAAGGAAGGAAGGAAGGAGAGAAAAAAGCAGAAAAGAGAAGCCAGGUCCUGUUGUGAGUGCUUAUCAUGUACCAACACCAGGCCUGAGGACAUUCUCACCACUGUGGUUUUGCCACUAAGGGGAGAGAGUUCCAGAGAGGUUAAUUUCGCUGCCCAGGGUCGCACAGUGAUGAGGCAGAGACCCUGGGCCAUGUCGCUGCCCGCGAUCCACACGUAAGCCUCUGCCCAUCCCUCCCAGCCCUCGGACUGCUGAGACCCCA
Molecule: long non-coding RNA, 718 nt
Filed under: Fukomys damarensis (Damara mole-rat)
Lineage: Eukaryota; Metazoa; Chordata; Mammalia; Rodentia; Bathyergidae
Description: lncRNA (ENSFDAG00000032981.1)
Source: RNAcentral